Molecule: signal recognition particle RNA, 268 nt
Filed under: Macaca fascicularis (crab-eating macaque)
Lineage: Eukaryota; Metazoa; Chordata; Mammalia; Primates; Cercopithecidae
Description: Metazoan signal recognition particle RNA (ENSMFAG00000016455.2)
Rfam family: Metazoan signal recognition particle RNA
About the family: The signal recognition particle (SRP) is a universally conserved ribonucleoprotein. It is involved in the co-translational targeting of proteins to membranes. The eukaryotic SRP consists of a 300-nucleotide 7S RNA and six proteins: SRPs 72, 68, 54, 19, 14, and 9.
Source: Rfam by way of RNAcentral
GACAGGCAUGGUGGCACGCGCCUGUAGUUCCAGCUGCUCUGGAGGCUGAGGCAGGAUGAUCGCUUGAGCCCAUAGCUUCUGGGCUAUACCCAUUGGGUUUCCACACUAAGUUUGGCAUCAGUUUGGUGACCUUCUGGAGCAGGAGACCACCAGGUUGCCUAAGGAGAAGUGAACUGGCUUAGGUUGGAAACAACAGGUCAAAACUCCUGUGCUGAUCAGUAGUGGGAUUGUACUCCAGCCUUGGCAACCUAGCAAGACCCAAUCUAUU